Molecule: ribosomal RNA, 381 nt
Filed under: uncultured Theileria sp.
Lineage: Eukaryota; Apicomplexa; Aconoidasida; Piroplasmida; Theileriidae
Description: SSU rRNA
Rfam family: Eukaryotic small subunit ribosomal RNA
Source: RNAcentral
AAAUAACAAUACGGGGCUCAACGCCUUGUAAUUGGAAUGAUGGGAACCUAAACCCCUUCCAGAGUAUCAAUUGGAGGGCAAGUCUGGUGCCAGCAGCCGCGGUAAUUCCAGCUCCAAUAGCGUAUAUUAAAAUUGUUGCAGUUAAAAAGCUCGUAGUUGAAUUUCUGCCGCAUCGCGGCGGCCCUCCCGGGCCCAGCGUUGCGGCUUAUUUCGGACUCGCUUGCGUCUCCGAAUGUUUACUUUGAGAAAAUUAGAGUGCUCAAAGCAGGCCCUUGCCUUGAAUACUUUAGCAUGGAAUAAUAAAGUAGGACUUUGGUUCUAUUUUGUUGGUUUAGCGCCAAAGUAAUGGUUAAUAGGAACAGUUGGGGGCAUUCGUAUUUA